Long non-coding RNA from Odocoileus virginianus texanus, 885 nucleotides. RefSeq lists it as uncharacterized. NCBI's taxonomy places the organism in Eukaryota, Metazoa, Chordata, Mammalia, Artiodactyla, Cervidae. The record is from RefSeq and is a predicted model, not a curated record.
CUCGCGGCCGAAAGCGAGGGGCGAGCCCGCCCGGUACCCCUGGGCGACCGCUUCCAGACUCUCCCUCCGGCCAGCAAAGGAGGGCGGGGUUGGGAAGAGGGAGGGCUACCAUGGUAACCAGAAGGCGCGUAGUGGUUAAGCCUGUCCAGCUGCUGGGCAGGCCGCCCACAAUGGAUGGCCUGCGCGGCCUUUACGCACUCGCAGUUGACCCCUCACUCCUGGCAUCCUGUGUCCUCUCCACAACAUAAACACCCCACAAGCCUCUACUUCACCCACCCCACAAAUGCUCCAAACCCAGGUGAUAAGAAAAGCCUAGACUUUCUGGGCCUCGUCUUCAAGAGUGCUGCUCUCCAGCCUCCUCUCAAAGUCAGCUCAGGUUCCCCAGGAGCUAUUUGUCAGUUAGAAACCACCCCUACAGGCAUUGCCAUGCAGGAUUUUUAGAAGCACAGUAAUGAAGAGCCUGGAGGAUUUUACUCUUGCCUAUAUUUCUUUGUAUUCCUCCCACCUUCUCACUUCUGAUUUCAUCUCAGAUCAAAAGAACCUUCCACAUGGUUGCACCACAGUGUCAGUGUUCUUACCACCAGUGACUUGUACACUUAAAAAUGGUUAAAAUGGCAAAUUUUACAUUAUGUGUAUUUUUUCACAAUUAAAAAACAAAAAGGACCUUGGAUGAACUUAGGGAGGAAAUAAAUGAAGUUCAGACUGACCUUGCCACACCCUUACCCUUUCUUUGUUCAAGGCGUUUUAGCAAAUCCUAUGCUUUCCAAAUUGGCUUCUCAGGUAACCAGGACUCCCAGCGUAAAUAAGCAGUUAUUGACUCCCUGCUCCUUCUUUUCCCCUUAUAUUUACAUCAAAGUAAUAUGCUCUCUUUACUUGUUUAUUAAU